AUGGCCCCGGUGCGACCAGAGCAGUCACCGGCCAUCUGUGGGCCAGGUCCCUCCACCAUGAGGAGUGGGAACGUGGUCCUGACCUCUCUAUGCCCAUCUCACAGUGUGUUCCAUGUUCCAGAGCCCAUGACUCCCCCCAGCAUCUUCCCACUGAGCCUCCCACGGUCCCAGUCCAGAGACCCUGUGGUACUUGGCUGCCUGAUCAAGGAUUUCUUCCCCUCGGGACCUGUGAGUGUGACCUGGAGCAAGACUGGGGAACAAGUGAUCGUCAUAAACUUCCCACCUUCCCUGACUAAGGAGGGGAACCGGUACAUCACGAGCAGCCAGCUGAGCCUGCCAGCUGACGAGUGCCCAGAGGACACGAACGUCACAUGCUCUGUGCAACAUGCCACAAAUCCCACCAAAGAAGUGGAAGUGCCAUGCUCAGGUGAGAGGCGACCGGCCCUUGAGGACCUGCUCCUGGGCUCAGACGCCAGCCUCACAUGCACACUGAGUGGCCUGAAGAGCCAGAAGGCGGCCACCUUCUCCUGGAAGCCCACAGGCGGGAAGACUCCCAUCCAGAAGCCUGCUGAGCCUGACUCCUGUGGCUGCUACCGUGUGUCCAGUGUGCUGCCUGGCUGUGCCGAACUCUGGAACAGUGGGCAGACCUUCACCUGCACGGCCACCCACCCUGACUUCGAAGGCACCCUGACCGCCACCAUCACAAAGACCACAGAGAACUUCAUCCAGCCUCAGGUCCAUCUGCUGCCGCCGCCGUCGGAAGAGCUGGCUCUGAACGAGCUGGUGUCACUGACAUGUCUGGUGCGGGGCUUUAGCCCUAAGGAUGUGCUGGUGCGCUGGCUGCAUGGGAGCCAAGAGCUGCCCCGCAGCAGCUACCUGGUGUGGGAUCCACUGAAGGAGCCCGAAGAGGGUGCUAACACCUAUGCUGUGACCAGUGUGCUGCGGGUGACAGCCGCGGACUGGAAGCAGGGGGAAAACUUCUCUUGCAUGGUGGGCCAUGAGUCCCUGCCCCUGUUCUUCACCCAGAAGACCAUCGACCACCACUCGGGUAAACCCACCCAUGUCAACGUGUCUGUGAUCAUGUCGGAGGCAGAUGGCACUUGCUAUUGA
Non-coding RNA from Heterocephalus glaber (naked mole-rat), 1110 nucleotides. The record is from the annotation of a RefSeq genome assembly. NCBI's taxonomy places the organism in Eukaryota, Metazoa, Chordata, Mammalia, Rodentia, Bathyergidae.